ACCUUUAACUUAGGUAAAUAUUCCUAUACCAUACACAGAUUUUGUUGGGAUUGGUAAAAGUAAGAUCACUUUAUUUUUUGAAAUUUUGCUGGUUUAUCAUUCAAAAAUCAAAAGUAGUUAGGACCGCACAUUCAUAUUUCUGGCACUUUUUUACUUGUUAACUCGAGUAUGUUUUGAUUAUAAAUUUACUCCAUACUUUAAUAAUUUAUUGUUGGAAUAGCCUCCUUUUAUAUUUGGAAAAUUCAGAAUUUUCAUCUCAGAGUUAUGUGAAUUUUUAUGUAAGGAAAUAUAUCACAUGCAUUUGGCUUGUAAAUCUCAAGUAAGAAUACCCCUAUUAGUUUUUUUGCAGGGCUAUAUUACUGACAUUUCUUUUAAUGUGCUCUACCAGUCUCUGUUAGAACAAUUUAAAUAUUCAUAAUAUAACAAGUAUGUAAUGGGAUGCUCUAACAAUUGCACAUGAAUAACUACCCAUAGAUUUUAUAUAAUACAACUACAGGUUAAAAGUCUUGAUAGUCAUAAUACAAGACAUAUAUUUAAUUUCAAAUAAAACAUAUAGAAAUACUGGGACUAUUAUAUAAAUACCUGUAACACAUAGCUGAGAGGGUGAUAGAGCAGAUUGUUACCCUGAGAAAACAAUAUCAACUGAGGCUAAGCCAAGUUUGACAAUGUUUUUGAGGGGUACCAAUCUGCUCUAUCAUCCUCUCACUUGUGUGUUAUUUAAUUCAUUAUACUGAAUGUCGUAUUAUUAUUGUCUUUUACUGUUGAAUUUUUACCAUGACCCCACAUACAUAAUGUUGCAGAUAUCAGAACGUUAACUGAAGUGAAACAAGAUGUUUUUUUUUUUAUUUUGACAUUCUAUGAAAAGUUUUGAGCCAAAAUGUAAAAAUUGAGCAUUGUAGUUAAUUAUUUGAUGUAAAUUCAAUUCAUUAUUCUUUAAAUUAUCAAUUUUUGAUUGGUCUGCAAAAGAGGGUGACCUUCAAAAAAGUGUCUCCUGUUCAGCCAUGGGAUAGAGUAAAGUGUCUACCUCAUAUUAGCCAGUAAAAAUCUAGCAUUUUAAUGUGAAGUAUAAUAAUAUACUAAUAGUAUAAUGGUCCCAGAUAAAUUAAAAAAAAAAUAACAAUUCACAGUAUAUAUACCAACAUUUUUAACACAAAAUGAAAGUUAACAAAUAGUCCCAGAUAAUCAUAAAACCAGGUGCUCUGCAGGGCGCAGCUUUAUACGACCCCAGUGGUUGAACCCUGAACAGUGUGGCAAAUUUGAUCACAAUAUUCAAGCUUGAUACUGCCUGAAUUUGGAUUGAGAUCAAAUGUUUGACAUAAUAUAGGUUUUUAUCACAAAAUAAAUGUGGUUAAAGAUCUAACAAAUCUAUUGCACAAUACUGUGCAAUUAAAGAUUUCUUCUUGAAACUUUUGAAAAUAAGCAGUGUAAGGGAUGUAAUCAAGUAAUCAUCAUAUAUUAACGUAUUCUUUAAUUUUGUUGCAUUACCAUCAUUUACACUGCUUUUAUAUUGUCUAAAUAAUGUCCUUUAACCAGAAAAACCCUUGUUUUCCCCCUAAUUGCUUAAUGAUUUGAGCCAUAACCCCCAUAACCAUCCCUUUGGAGUAUGGAAACUUGUGGUAUAAUUUCAGGGAGAUUUAUACACUUAACCAAAAGUUAUUGACUGAAAACUACAAAAAUGCUUCUUUGGGCCCCUUUUUUUGACCCCUCACUUAUUGAAACCAAUCCCCUUCCCCUUGGAGAAAGAACCCCAAAACUCAAUUCCAGCCUUUCCGUUGUAGUAAGAAACCUUGUAGUAUACUUUCAGAGAGAUCCAUACACUUAAACCCAAGUUAUUGCCUGUAAACUAGAUCUCCAGUGGUCCGAUUGGCGCAGCUUUAUACGACCGCAGAGGUUGAACCCUGAACGGUUGGGGCAAGUAUGGACACAACAUUCAAGAUGGAUUCAGCUCUGAAUUUGGAUUGUGAUUAAAUAGUUGACGCAGCAUAGUUUUCUGACACAGAAUGAAUGUGGUCUAAUGAUCUUAAAAUUUUUUUUUGCCUUUGAGCAAAUCACUAUGCUGUUGAAUAUUAAUCCUCUCAAAAAAAUGUUUGAAAAAAUUUUUAUUUUUAUUUCUGAAAUCUAAAAUAUUAAAAUGUAAAAAAAGUGCUUGUAAUCACUGAAUGGUAAAGAUUGUUUUAAUUUAUUAGUUGGUAGUAAAAGUGAAUAUUGCAUUGUAUAUCGUAUAAAGCAAUGAUUUAAGUUGAUUCAACUACUAUUCUGGAAAAAAGAAAGAUAGCUCCAAUUUUCAAAGAAUAUUUCAUAAAGCAUUGGUUUAAGGUGAUAUAACAACCAUUCUGGACAAAG
Molecule: long non-coding RNA, 2343 nt
Filed under: Mytilus galloprovincialis (Mediterranean mussel)
Lineage: Eukaryota; Metazoa; Mollusca; Bivalvia; Mytilida; Mytilidae
Source: RNAcentral